Molecule: small RNA, 130 nt
Filed under: Acerihabitans arboris
Lineage: Bacteria; Pseudomonadati; Pseudomonadota; Gammaproteobacteria; Enterobacterales; Pectobacteriaceae
Description: Enterobacteriales bacterium SAP-6 RtT sRNA
Rfam family: RtT RNA
About the family: This family represents a bacterial cis-regulatory element known as RtT RNA. The exact function of RtT is unknown although it is thought that it may be involved in changing the cellular response in relation to amino acid starvation.
Source: RNAcentral
AAACUUCCCGUUGGGGGAAGGAUGAGAACCUUCGACCAAGGUUCGAGCCGAGCGCAGCGAGACAACGAUGCGCCAGCAUCGGCCCGCAGGGUGAGGAGCGAAGCGACGAAUAAUCCUUCCCCCACCACCA